This is a non-coding RNA of Callithrix jacchus (white-tufted-ear marmoset), 22170 nucleotides long. The record is from RefSeq and is a predicted model, not a curated record. Lineage: Eukaryota; Metazoa; Chordata; Mammalia; Primates; Cebidae.
GGAGGCAUUUAGGUAGUGCACUGCGGCUGGGCGCGGGGCCUGUUUGCCUGUGACGCCCACCCCCGGCUUUUAUCAGCCUAUGCCCUAGUGCUAGUGGAAGACUUAAGAUGGCGGCGUUUGCUCGGGAUACAAUUACUGCGUCCUUAAAGGGGGUUGCAAGGCGUCCGAAGUAUGACUCCACUAACAAAAGUACAGAAACUCUCCAGUUAUAUUGUUGUGUGUUGCUCUGUUGCCCAGGCUGGAGUGCAGUGGUGUGAUGUCGGCUCAUUACAACCUCUGCCUCCCAGGUUCAAGUGAUUCUCCUGCCUCAGUCUCCCGAAUAGCUGGGCAUUACAGCUGGCCGCCACCAUGCCCAGGCUGGAGUGCAAUGGUGCGAUCUUGGCUAACUGCAACAUCUGCCUCCCGGGUUCAGGCGAUUCUCCUGCCUCACCUCGCCCUGCUGAUUUUUAUUUUUUUGUAUUUUCAGUAGAGACGGGAUUUCUCCACGUUGGUCAGGCUGCUCUUUAACUCCUGAUCUCACGUGAUCCACCCGUCUUGGCUUUCCAAAGUGCUGGGAUUACACACGGGAGCCACUGCGCCCAGUUUGGAAUUGAUUUCUUAAUUUCAUUUUUGUAUUGUUCAUUGCUAAUAGGUAGGAAAACAGAACAAUUUAUAUAGGUUUUUUUUUUUUUUUUAGAUGCAGUUUUUAUCCUUGUUACCCAGGCUGGAGUGCAGUGGCGCGAUCUUGGCUCACUGCAAGCUCUGUCUCCUGGGUUCAAGCAAUUCUGCUUCAGCGUCCAAGUAGCUAGGAUUACAGGUGCCCACCACCAUGCCUGGCUAAUUUUUUGUAUUUUUAGUAGAAAAGGGGUUUCAUCAUGUUGGCCAGGCUGGUCUCGAACUCCUGACCUCAGGUGAUCCACCUGUCUUGGCCUCCCAAAGUGCUGGGAUUACAGGUGUGAGCCACUGCACCUGGCAUGUAGGUUUGUAUUCUACAGCCAACUCUUCUCAGAGGAAGUAUAGAUAGAUAUGUAUACCAACCCAUGUAUAGAUACCUAUUUAUAUAUAUUUUUGUAUGUAACUAUCGAUAUUUUAGUUGGCUGCACAUGAGUUCCUACUGAUAUUUCUAACUAAUCCAUUACCACAUGGUUAAUUCUAGUCAUGUAUCUCCUUGUUUGUCUAUAUUCACUCCAACAGAGAAGAGCCUGUCUUCUAACAUUUACCAUUCAUUUACAUGAUUGUACUACUUCAUUAUACAGGUAGAGCUGUUUCAAAAUUGUUGAUUUUUACCUUCACUGGAAACAACUUUAUCAACUGGAAUAUAAUGCUUACGUAUAGCUUCUUUUGCAUUUAGUCUUACUCCACUUAUUAAUGGUAGGAGACUGGAUGUUACUGCUCAGAUCAGGAACAGUGCAAAGAUGUCCUCUCUCAUCACUGCUGAUACAAGAAAAAGAAAUAUAGACUAGAAUGGAAGAAAUAAAUCUUUCCUUGUAGAAUAUAAGAUUGUCUACCUAGACGUUUUUAGAGCAUCUCCCAAAACUUGGAACUAAUAAAUGAGAGUAAGAAGGACACAAGGUAUUACAGUUACUUUUCAUUUUCUGUUAAUUUUGGCAUCUCAUAUUUGAGUCUGGGUUUGAAGAUUGUAUUCUUUUCAGAUGGUAUUUUUUUCUGUUUUCGUAUACAUUAUAAUUAUGGUUGAGAGUCAGACAUUGUAUAAUGUAGUAGAUACUGAGAUAUAUAUAUAUUUUUUCUUUGAGAUAAGCACACCUUUUCUUCAUCUAGGCUAUUAUUGUGGAGGUUUGUGUGAAAUUAGGAGUUGGGCUGGGAUUAAAGUUUGUUGUUAGCAUGGUUACUUUCUGUGCAUCAGAAACUUCAAACCCUGUAAAUGAUACCUUUUUUUUUUUUUUUUUUGAGAUGGAGUUUCGCUUUUUACCCAGGCUGGAGUGCAAUGGCGUGAUCUCGGCUCACCGCAACCUACCCCUCCUGGGUUCAAGCAGUUCUCUUGCCUCAGCCUCCUGAGUAGCUGGGAUUACAGGCACGUGCCACCAUGCCCAGCUAAUUUUUGUAUUUUUAGUAGAGACGGGGUUUCACCAUGUCGACCAGGAUGGUCUCCAUCUCUUGACCUCGUGAUCCACCCGCCUCGGCCUCCCAAAGUGCUGGGAUUACAGGCGUGAGCCACCGUGCCCAGCGAUACCUUGUUUUUGUACCUUGCUAGGCUUUGGAUUUUUACCUUUUCACUCUUCUCUAGAGAGGGGCUGUGUUUUUCAGUUCUCCCCUGUGCAUUACUCUAAUUUUACUUGAUAUUUAUUAUUUAUUAGCCUGUGGUUGGGGGGGUCGGGGGAAGAGGCAUAUUCUCUAAUGUUCUGAUUUAGACUCAGCCUUAAGUAGGCACUGUGAAUGGGGUCCUUGUGGGUGUCACUAUCGUAAGUCGUUUUUCUUCGGCGUCAAUGCCUAGUAUUUAUUUCCAUUCCUCCCCUAAGGCUAAAAAGCUUUAUGUGUUCCUUAUUUCCUUACCCAGCCCUUGUUGGCUUCCACUCCAGGGUGUCCCCGAAAAUUGCCCUAAGGUUUUUGCUCCUUAGGUGAGAUAAGAGACCUCUGGGAAAUUUUAGUCUGCCUUAUAUUCCCUUACCCAGUACUUCAUGAUCUUUUCUGUAAGUUAAGAAAGGUAGAUCUGGUUUGAUUUUUCAGCCAUAGCUGCUAUUUCUUUCCCCCAGAUAGUAACAAAGGGGUCUUUCUCUGUGAUCUCUGAUCUUUCCUGUGGCUACCUGUUGAUAAUAGCUCCAGGUGUCUGCAACCCCACCUCCAUAUUUGAAACCUGAGGGGCUUCCUAAUCUCAUGCUAGCCCACACUAGGCCUUUAGGCAACUGAUUGUAAUUUCUAGUUAAAUCUUUCUACCUGCUUGUAUAUUGACGUUCAUGGCAUUUGUCCCAGUAAUCAAAUGCUCAGAUUCUGUUUUUCCUUGCAGGUACCUACCUUUUUUCAGAUUUCUGUAUUUUUUUGUCCUGUGAUUUCACUUCUCUGAUAGGGUCAAAAAAAAAUCAUAACUUUGCUUUUGUCAAGCCUUUUCUAAGUGAGGUAGUUAUGUUGUUUUUAGAGCCCUAUAUAUUUGAGGUUUGUCGUCUUUGUUAUUUUUAUUUCUGUUUCUUACAUUUUUCUUCUGUAUCAUUUGAACAUUUUUUAGUAUUCCAUCUUAAUUAUCUUUAUUUAUUUUGAGACAGAGUCUCACUCUUAUCCAGGCUAGAGUGCAAUGGCAUACUCUCAGCUCACUGCAACUCCCGCAUCUUGGGUUCAAGCAAUUCUUCUGCCUCAGGCUCACGAGUAGCUGAGACUAACCACAGGCAUGUGCCACGACGCCUGGCUAAUUUUUGUAUUUUCAGUAGAGACAGGGUUUUGCCACGUUGGCCAGGCUGGUCUGGAACUCCUGACCUCAGAUGAUCUGCCUGCCUAGGCCUCUCAAAUGCUGGGAUUAUACAGGUGUGAGCCACUGUGCCCACCCUUAAUUAUCUUUUAUACAUUCGAAUUGUAUCUCAUAAACAAUCAUCUAACAGUUUAGGUAGAUUUAAUGUUUUACCACUUGAGGUAAAACAUGGAAGCCUUAUACCCAUAUGCAUCUCUCUAUACUCCCUCACUGAUUUAUUUUUUCUCACUAAUUUUUUAAAUAGUUGCCAUGUGUUUUGCAUUUGCAUUGUGUUUCCACUUCCAGGAGUUAUACAUAUUUUAAAUAAGAAGAGAAAAAGAGUCUUUUAUGUUUACUUAGUAAUUUACCACUUCUUUUUUUUUAACCAGUUCUUUUGUUUUUCCCUCAUCCUUAAAGAUCUAAGCUUUCCCUAGUUAAUCAUUUCCCUUCAGACUAAAGACCUCCUUUUAUCAUUUAAUCACCACUCUGCCUGAGGUGAAUUGUCUUAAAUUCCCUUCAUCUAGGCAUGUGUUCAUUUCACCUUCAUUCCUGAAAAACAUUUUCACUCGCUGGAUAUAGAAUUGGUAAUUGAUGGGAUUUUUUUUUUUUCUUGCAGCUCUUUAAAGGUAUUUUUCUACUACUGUCCUUCAUAGUUUCUGAUAAUAAAUUUGCCGUCGUUUGAAUCAUUCCUUCGUCAUAUGUAAUGUGCUGGGUUCUUUUAUAGCUGUUUUCAAAUUUUUUCCUUUUUCCUUAGUUUUCAGCAAUUUAUGGUAUUUCUGGGCACGCCUUUUCAGUUUAUAUUGUUUGGCUUUGCUGAAGUUAAAUAUGUAGAUUUAUCUUUUAUCAAAUUGGGAAGUUUUUGGCUGUUAUUUCUACAAACAUUUUUUCUGCAUGAUUUUUUUUUUCUCAUUCUGAGACUGUGAUGACAUGUAUGUUAGACAUUUUGCUAUUGUUCCAUAGGUCCUGAGGUUUGUUCUGUUUCAAUCUUUUUUAAUUCUAUUUUUCAGAUUGGGUAAUUUCUAUUGAUCUCAAAUUCUGUUUCAUGUUCCUGUCUGCAUUCUGCUAUUGAGAUCUCCAGUGGAUAUAUAUUUUUUAUUGUAAAUGUUGUAUGUUUUCACUAAAAAACAUCUCAAUUUGGUUCUUUUUUUAAGUGUUGCUAAGGUAUAAUAUACCAUAAAAAUUAUCCAUUGUAAGUGUACAAUUCACCUAGUUUUAGUAAACUUAUAGCUUGAAGCUGUCAUCAGAAUCCAGUUUUAAAACAUUUUAUUAUUUCCAAAAGUUUCUUCAAGCCCAUUUAUAGUCUCUUCUGCUCCCGUCCCAGGCUACCUCGAUAUCCUGUCUUUAAGUUCAUCCUUUCUAGACAUUUCAUGUAAAUGAAAUCAUACAGGAUUUGUUCUAUUGAGUCUGACCUCCUUCAUUUAUUAAAAUGUUUCUGAGAUUUAUUCAUGUGGUAGCAUUUAUAAGUAUUUUAUUCCUUUUUAGAGCUGAGUAUUAUUCAGUUUUAUAAAUAUGUCACAUUUUGUUUCUCUGUGCAGCACUUGACUAAAAGUUGGAUUGUUUCCUUUUUUGUUUUUUUUUUUUUUGGUGGGAGGGCUAUUAUGAUGAAUAAACACUGCUGUGAACAUUAAUGUAAAUGUCCUAAUAUAUUUUCAUUUCUAUUCUGUAGAUUCCUUAGAAUAGAAUAGCUGGGUUAUAUAGCAAGUAUUUAUUCAGCUUUUAAAGAAACUACCAAACUGAUUUCCAAUGUGAAUAUGCUAUUUUACAUUUUCACCAACCAUGUAUGAGUUAACAUUUAUUUCUCCACAUCAUCACUUGUUAUUAAAGCAGGAGCAACUGUAAGAAACAGACCUCUCGAACACGGGACUGGGAAGGAAGGGGUGAUUUAUUUGGCCGGGAGCAAGGUGGUAUAGUUGCCUAGCAGCCAAGCUCAUCUAACAAAGGAAACCUCUGCCUUUAUAUAGGCUUACAACGCUAGAUAUUACAUGUGAAAGGGUCUUGGGUUUACAGUUUUAGAAAGUACAUGUGAGGGGGUCGUGAUCAAUGAUGGGGGUUUGUUGAGCAAGAUUGAAUGGGAACAAUAGAGGGCAUUUCUCCAUAUUGUCCCCACCCUUAAGAUCACCUGAGAUCAUAAGGGUGGUGGGGGGAGUUUUUAAUCUUUAACCUCCAGGCCACUGAUGUCAUGCCUGCUAUGUCUCAACUUUUACUUCCUCCUCCUUUGAGACAAGAGACUGGAAAGAGGAGUUUCUUUCCUCAUUAUUACCUGAUUAUAGCCAUUCUAAUUGGUGUGAAGUAGUAUCUCAUCGUGAUUUUGUUUCGACUUUUCUUAAAUUCUAACGGAAUCGAGCAUCUUUUCAUUUGCUUAUUGGUCAUUUUUAUGUCUUUGAUGAAAUAUCUAUUUAAAUCUUGUUCAUUUAAAAUUACUUUCUUAUUACAUUGUAGGAGUUCUUUAUUUUGUACUCAAGUGUGUUAUCAGAAAUGUGAUUUCCACAUUUUUUUCUCAGUCUGUAGCUUGUCUUUUUAUUUUCUUAAUGGUGUCAUUUGAAGUACUAAAAUUUUUAAUUUUCAUGAAGUCCAUUACAUCAGUUGUUUUCUGUGUCUGGUCUUUCAUCAGUUGAUUAUUGUUGAUACUUUAGUUUUAAAGUUGGGUAGUGAAAGAUCAUGUACUUUGUGGUAUUUCAACAUUAUUUCAGGUGAUCUGCAUUCUUUGCAUUUAAAAUGAGCUUGCAAUUUUCUAUUUAAAAAAAGCUUUCUGAGAUUUUGAUAGGGACUGCAUUGAAUUUAUAGAUCAAUAGGAUAAGACUUGCCUUCAUAAAUAUAUAUUGCAUUGUCAAGUCCAUGAACAAGGAUUUUCAUAUAGUUUCAUCCAUUUAUAUAUCUGCUUCAAAUUCUACGUGCAGUAUUUUGCAGUUUUUAGUGUAUAAAUCUUUCUCUUCUUUUGUUAAAAUUAUUUUAAGUGUUUUAUUCUUUUUGAUGCUAUUCAGAAUGGAGUUCUCUUAAUUUCAGUUUAUUGCUAGUAUACAGAUAUAUAAUUGAUUUUAGUCUUUUAUGUGUGUAUGUUUUCUUUUUUAGAAGUUAAGAAUUAGUAAUAGUAACAUUAUUUUAAUCUUGUAUCUGAUUACUUCCUUAAACUUUUGUUAGUUAUAGUAGUUAUACUGUGGAAUUCUUAGGUUAAGAAUAAGGAUUCCAGCCGAGCACAGUGGCUCACGCCUAUAAUCCCAGCACUUUGGGAGGCCGAGGCGGGUCUAUCACGAGGUCAAGAGAUCGAGACCAUCCUGGUCAACAAGGUGAAACCCUGUCUCUACUAAAGAUACAAAAAUUAGCUGGGCAUGGUGGCACACGCCUGUUGUCCCAGCUACCCGGGAGGCUGAGGGAGGAGAAUUGCUUGAACCCAGGAGGCGGAGGUUGCGGUGAGCCAAGAACGCGCCAUUGCACUCCAGCCUGGGUAACGAGCAAAACUCUGUCUCAAAAAUAAAUAAAUAAAUAAAUAAAUAAAUAAAUAAAUAAAUAAAUAAAUAAAUAAAUAAGGAUUCCAUAAUAGAACUACAAAUAGGAUCAUUUCAUAUGCAAAUAAGGGCAAUUUUAUUUCUUCUCCAGUCUCACUGUCUUUACAUUUUUUUCCCUUAUAUUUACUGCCCAAAACUCCCAUGUUGACUAGGAGUGGUGAGAAAGCUGGUGCAGUGGCUCAUGCAUGUAAUCCCAGUUCUUUGGGAGGCCAGGGUGGGUGGAUCUCCUGAGCUUAAAAGUUCAAGACUGCCCUGAGCAACAUGGUGAAACCUUGUCUCUAUAAAAACAAAUAUGGUAGCUGGGCAUGGUGGCAUGUGCCUGUAGUCCAAGCUACCAGGGAGGCUGAGGUGGGAGGAUUACCUGAGCCUGGGAGGUCAAGGCUGCAGUGAGCCAUGAUUGUGCCACUGCACUCCAGCCUGGGCAACAAAGACCCUGUCUCAAAGAAAAACAAAACCCCCACAAAAACAAAAAAAUAAGUGGUGAGAAUGGGAAUCUAUGUCUUAUUCCCAACUUCUGGAGAAAGUAAAGCACUAAAUCUUUCUGCAUUAAGUAUGACUUUAGUUACCUGUUUUUGUUAAUUGUUUUAUAGGUUUCUUUUGUUAGAUUAAAUAAGUUCUUUUUCAUUCUUAGUUUUGGGAGAAUUUUAAAGCCUGAAUGGGUUUUCAGUUUAGUCAAAUUCUAUUUUUAUGUCUACUGAGGUGAUAAUACAGUUUUAAAUGUAAUAUAUUGAAUUACAUUGAUUGAAUUUUGAGUUAUGAAACAGGCUUAGAUUUUACGAAAAAAGUAGGGUUCUACUUUGUCAUAAUAUAAUGUUAUAAGUAAAAUUUUGACGCCACAAAAUAAAUAGCACUCAAAGAUAUGUCCUCUCAGCAAGGCAGUUUUAGGCUGGGCUUGUUCGUCACAUCGGGUAGGUCUCUACCCCUUACCCAGGAGGCUGCUGUAAAAUGAAGCAGCAGGACGCGUCUCCUCAAAAGAGAGGGUCUGAGACUGCCUGGAAGAGAACAGUGAAUCCUGGACAAGCCCCCAGAAUUGUUAAAAGUAAAAUUUCGAUGCCGCAAAAGAAAUAGCACUCGAAGAUAUGUUCUUUCAGCAAGGCAGUUUACUUCUAUAGGAGGGUUCGGGGGGUACGGAUGGAGUAAUGAUGGCGGCCGCAGGCUUGGACAAGGGGGGAAGGGGUACUUAUGCUUGAUGAGGGGUUGUUCCUGCUGCUGUGUCAUCCCCUAUUGGCUAGGAUUUGACCGCAGAAGCUAGACUAAUCCCAAUCAGCUAUUUUAAAAAGAGUAGGGAGUCUGAGCUGGAGUGGCAGGGUGGGUGUUUUGGUGGGAAGAAUGGUUAUGGGCAUGUCAGAGCAGGUAGCCAGGGGAGAUAAUGUGACCUGGAUGCCUCAGGAUACAGCCAGCGGGGAGGGAGAGCAGAUGUGAACUAGCGAUGAACUGGUGGAGAAGGUUUUUUGCUGGAAUUACGAGGAAGUUAAACUUUAAAAUAGAGAUUUAAAGAAUAAGAGAGUUGAACAUGCUGACAUACUGAUUCUUUGAAGAGAAACUUGGGGUUCACUAUAACAUAUAAUUUACCUAAUUUUCAUAUUGUUGGAUUAGAUUUCCUAACAUUUUGUUAAGAAUUGUUGCAUUUGAGUCAACCUAGAUAGGUGCCCAUCAAUGGUCAACUAGAUAAAGAAAAUGUGAUAUAUUUAUAUCAUGGAAUACUAUGCAGCCAUAAAAAAUGAAAGCAUAUCUCUUGCAGCAACAUGGAUCUAGCUGGAGACCUUUAUCCUAAGCAAAUUAAUGCAGGAACAGAAAACCAAAUACCCCAUAUUCUCCCUUGUAAGUGGGAAGUAAACAUGAGUACACAUGGACACAAAAAUAUAAACAAUAGACACCAGGGCCUACUCAAGAGAGGAUAGUGGAAGGAGGGUGAGGUUCAAAACUAACUACCUAUUAGGUACUAUGCUUACUACCUGGGUGAUGAAAUAAUUUGUACACCAAACCCCAGUGGCACACAAUUUACUCAUUAACAAACUGUAUAUGUAUACCUUGAAACCAAAAUAAAAGUUGGAAAAAAACCAUGGAAUGUAACAUUUAUCUUCAUGAGGAAGAUUGGAAAGUAAUUUUCUUUUCUUAUAAUGUCUUUGUGAGGUUUAAUAUCAGGGUAUUUGUGGCCACAUUAAAAUGAGUAGGACAUUAAGUACUAUCUCUUGAGUUUUCUGUAAUGAAUUUUUUAGAAUCCGUAUUUUUCUUAUUAUUUUUUGAGAUGGAGUCUCACUCUAUCGCCCAGGCUGGAGUCCAGUGGUGAUACGUGGGUUCACUGCAACCUUUGCCUCCUGAGUUUAAGCAAUUCUCUCUUCCUCAGUCCUCCAAGUAGCUGGGAUUGCAGGUGUGUGCCACCACACUGGCUAAUUUUUUUUGUAUUUUUAGUAAAGACGGGGUUAUACCAUGUUGGCCAGGCUGACCUCAGGUGAUCCACCUGCCUCGACUUCCCUAAGCUCUGGGAUUACAGGUAUGAGCCACUGUGCCCGGCCUAGUAUUUUAAUUGUACUUUUGCCCCUGGGAUACAUGUGCACAUCCUGCAUCCUGCAGGUUUGUUGCAUAGGUACAUACACGCCAUGGUGGUUUGCUGUCUCCAUCCACCCUUUGCUCUGUCGCCUACAUCAGGCAUUUCUCCUGGUGUUAUCCCUCCCCAUCCUCCCUGCCACCCCGCUGCCGCUGUCCUUCUGCUCUCCCCCCACGUGUCCCCUGAGUGUUGUUCCCUUCCCUGUGCCCAGUUGUUCUCAUUGUUCAUCAGUUGCCUGUGAGUGAAAACAUGUGGUGUUUGGUUUUCUAUUCUUAUGUCAGUUUGCUGAGAAUGAUGGUUUGUAGAUUCAUCCCUGUCUCUACAAAGGACGUGAACUCAUUGUUUUUUUAUGACUGCAUAGUAUUCCAUGGUGUAUAUGUGCCACAUUUUCGUUCUCCAGUCUGUCAUUGAUGGGCAUUUGGGUUGGUUCCAGGUCUUUGCUAUCAUAAAUAGUGCCACAACGAACAUACGUGUGCAUGUGUAUUUAUAAUAGAAUGAUUUAUAAUCCUUUGGGUAUAUACCCAGUAAUGGGAUUGCUGGGUCAAAUGGAAUUUGUAUUUCUAGAUCCUUGAGGAAUCGCCACACUGUCUUCCAGUAAUGGUUGAAGUAAUUUAUACUCCCACCAACAGUGUAAAAGUGUUCCUUUUUCUCCAUAUCCUCUGCAGCAUCUGUUGUCUCCAGAUUUAUUAAUAGUUGCCAUUCUGACUGUCGUGAGAUGGUAUCUCAAUGUGGUUUUGAUUUGCGCUUCUCUAAUGACCAGUGAUAAUGAGCAUUUUUUUCAUAUGUUUGUUGGCUGUAUAUAUGUCUUCUUUUGAAAAGUGUCUGUUCAUAUCCUUUGCCCACUUUUGAAUGGGUUUGCUUGUUUUUUUCCUUGUAGAUCUACUUUAGUUCUUUGUAGACUCUGUAGAUACCCUUUGUCAGAUGGGUAGAUUGCAGAAAUUUUUUCCUAUUCUGUUGGUUCAUUCUAAUGAUUGUUACUUUUGCUGUGCAGAAGCUCUUAAGUAUUCCUAGGUAUUUUAUUCUCUUUGUGGCAAUUGUAAAUGGGAGUUCACUCAUGAUUUGGCUCUCUGUUUGUCUGUUGUUGGUGUGUAGGAAUGGUUGUGAUUUCUGUGCAUUGAUUUUUGUAUCCUGAGACUUUGGCGAAGUUGUUUAUCAGCUUGAGCAGGUUUUGGGCUGAGAUGAUGGGGUCUUCUAAAUACAGGAUCAUGUCAUCUACAAAUAGGGACAGUUUGACUUCUUCUUUUCCUAAUUGAAUGCCCUUUAUUUCUUUUUCUUGCCUAAUUGCUCUGGCUAGAACUUCCAAUACUAUAUUGAAUAGGAGUGGUGAGAGAGGGCAUCCUUGUCUAGUGCCUGUUUUUAAAGGUAGUGCUUCUAGUUUUUGCCCAUUCAGUAUGAUAUUGGCUGUGGGUUUGUUGUAAAUGGCUUUUAUUAUUUUGAGAUAUUGUUCCAUUGAUACCUAGUUUAUUGAGAGUUUUUAGUAUAAAGGGCUGAUGAAUUUUGUCUAAGGCCUUCUCUGAUCUGUUGACAUAACCAUGUGGUUUUUGUGUUUGGUUUUGUUCAUGUGGUAGAUUACGUUUAUAGAUUAGCAUGUGUAUGUUGAACCAGCUUUGCAUCCCUGGGAUGAAGCCUACUUGAUUGUGGUGGAUAAGCUUUGUGAUAUGCUGUUGGAUUCAGUUUGCCAGUAUUUUAUUGAAGAUUUUUGCAUCAGUGUUCGUCAUGGAUACUGGCCUGUAGUUUUCUUUUUCAGUUGUGUCUUUGCCAGGUUUUGGUAUCAGGAUGAUGUUGGUCUCAUAGAAAGAGUUAGGGAGGAUUCCCUGUUUUUGUGUUGUUUGGAACAGUUUCAACAGGAAUGGUACCAGCUCCUCUUUGUAAAUCUGGUAGAAUUCAGCUAUGAACCCGUCUGUACCUGGACUUUUUUUGGUUGGUAGGCUGUUAAUUGCUGCCUCAACUUCAGACCUUGUUACUGGUCUAUUCAGGGUUUCAACUUCUUCCUGGCUUAGUAUUGGGAGUGUGCAAGUGUCCAGGAAUUUAUCCAUUUCUUUCAGAUUUACUGGUUUAUGUGCGUAGAGAUGUUUGUAGUAAUCUCUGAUGGUAGUUAGUAUUUCUAAGGAACUGGUGGUGAUCUCCCCUUAAUCAUUUUUUAUUGCAUCUAUUUGAUUCUUCUCUCUUUUCUUUUUUAUUAUUCUAGCUAGCAGUCUGUCUAUUUUGUUGAUCUUUUCAAAAACCAGCUCCUGGAUUUAUUGAUUUUUUUUGAAGGGUGUUUUGUGUCUCUAUCUCCUUCAGUUCUGCUCUGAUCUUAGUUAUUUCUUGUCUUCUGCUUGCUUUUGAGUUUUUUUGAUCUUGCUCCUCUAGUUCUUUCAAUUUUGAUGAUAGGUUGUCAAUUUUAGAUCUUUCCUUGUUUCUCGUGUGGGCAUUUAUUGCUAUAAAUUUCCCUCUAGACACUGCUUUAAAUGUGUCCCAGAGAUUCUGGUACAUAGUAUCUUCUUUCUUGUUGGUUUUGAAGAACAUUUUUUUGUUCAUCCUUCAUUUCAUUGAUUAUCCCUUUGUCAUUCAGGAGCAAGUUGUUCAGUUUCCAUGUGAUUGUGCGGUUUUGAGUGCUUUUCUUAAUCCUGAGUUCUAAUUUGAUUGCUCUGUUGUCUGAGAGACUGUUUGUUAUGAUUUCCAUUCUUUUGCAUUUUCUGAGGAGUGAUUUACUUCCAAUUACGUGGUCAAUUUUAGAGUAGGUGUAAUGUGGUGCUGAAAAGAAUGUAUAUUCUGUGAAUUUGGGGUGGAGAUUUCUGUAAAUGUCUAUGAGGUCCACUUGGCCCAGAUCUGAGUUCAAGUCCUGGAUAUCUUUGUUAAUUUUCUGUCUCGUUGACAUGUCGAAUAUUAUCAGUGGAGUGUUAAAGUAGGUGCAGUCUGGUGCUGAGAAGAAUGUAUAUUCUGUGGAUUUGGGGUGGAGAUUUCUGUAAAUGUCUGUUAGGUCUGCUUGGUCCAGAUCUGAGUUCAAUUCCUGGAUAUCCUUGUUAAUUUUCUGUAUUAUUGAAAUGUCGAAUAUUAUCAGUGGAGUGUUAAAGCCUCCCACUGUUAUUGUGCAGGAGUCUCAUUGUAGGUCCUUAAGAACUUGCUUUAUAUAUCUGGGUGCUCCUGCAUUGGGUGCAUGUAUAUUUGGGAUAGUUAGUUCUUGUAGUUGCAUUGAUCCUUUUAUCGUUAUGUAAUGCCCUUCUUUGUCUCUUGAUCUUCGUUGGUUUAAAGUACAUUUUAUCAGAGACUAGGAUUGCUACCCCUGGUUUUUUUUUGCUCUCCAUUUGCUUGGUGUAAAUCUUCUUCCAACCCUUUAUUUUGAGUCUGUGUGAGUCUUUGCACGUGAGAUGGGUCUCCUCAAUACAGCACACCAAUUGGUCUUGACUUUUUAUCCAGUUUGCCAGACUGUGUCUUUCGAUUGGGGCAUUUAGGCCAAUUAUAUUCAAAGUUAAUAGUGUUAUGUUUGAAUUUGAUCCUGUCAUUUUCUUACUGGCUGUUUGUUUUGCCUGUUAGUUGUCACGGUUUCUUCAUUGUGUCAUUGUUCUUUACCAUUUGGCACAUGCUUGUAGUGGCUGAUACUGGUUGUUCCUUUCCAUGGUUAGCACUUACUUCAGGAGUUCUUUGUAAGGUAGGUCUUGUAGUGACAAAGUCUUUCAGCAAUUGCUUGUCUGUAAAGGAUUUUAUUUCUCCUUCACUUCUGAAGCUAAGUUUGGCCGGAUAUGAAGUUCUGGGUUGAAAGUUAUUUUCUUUAAGAGUGUGGAAUAUUGGCCCUCCACUCCCUUCUAACUUGUAGGGUUUCUGCCGAGAGAUCUGCUGUGAGUCUGAUGGUCUUUCCUUUGUGGGUGACUGGACCUUUCUCUCUGGCUGCCCUUAGCAUUUUUUCCUUCAUUUCAACCCUGGUCAAUCUGACAAUUAGGUGCCUUGGGGUUGCUCUUCUCGAGGAGUAUCUUUGUGGUGUUCUCUGUAUUUCCUGGAUUUGAAUGUUGGCUUGCCUUGUUAGGUUGUGGAAGUUCUGUUGAAUAAUAUCCUGACGAGUGUUUUCCAACUUGGAUUCAUUCUCUCUGUCACAUUCAGGUACACCGAUCAAGCGUAGAUUAGAUCUUUUCACAUAAUCCAUAGUUCUUAGAGGCUUUGUUCGUCUCUUUUCACUCUUUUUUCUCUCAUCUUGCGUUUUCAUUUUAUUUCAUUGAUUUGAUCUUCUAUCUCUGAUGUCGUUUCUUCUACUUGAUUGAUUUGGCUGUUGAAACUUGUGUAUGCCUUGCGAAGUUCUCAUGCUGUGUUUUUCAGCUUCAUCAAGUCAUUAAUGUUCUUCUCUUAGCUGGUGAUUCUAGUUAGCCUUUCAUCUAACUUUUUUACAAGGUUUUCAGUUUCUUUGCAUUGGGUUAGAACAUGUUCCUUUAGCUCAGAGAAGUUUGUUACUACCUACUUUCUGAAGCCUGCUUCUGUCAGUUCGUCAAACUCAUUCUUUGUCUUGUUUUGUUCCCUUGAUGGUGAGGAGUUGUGAUCCCUGGGAGGAGAAAAGGUGUUACGGUCUUUGACGGUUUCAUCCUUUUUGUGCUGGUUUCUUCCUAUCUUUGUGAAUUCAUCUCCCUUUGGUCUUAUAAGUUGGUGCUUUUAGGAGUAAUCUCAGUGGACUUUAUUUCUGUUGAGGUUGAAACUAUACCUUUUUGGCCUGUAGAAGCGCUGCUGGGCUGCCUCAGGUUCAGUCAGGCUGCUGGGUGGGUGGUCCUCCCCUUUGGUUUGUUUGCAGGCUAGAUUAGCCCGGCCUUCCCAAUGGCAUCUCUCCUUCCCGGAGCUUGAUCUUCCGGGUUGGGGUCAAACUGGUGUAUUCCCUGCAAGCUCUCUAGCCUGCCGGCUUCAGUUUGAGUUUUGUGGUGGUGGGACCUGCCAGGCCUUAUGUCCUGUUUCCCUGCUUUCAACUCUGCCUCUUUUUGUUCGAUGGUCCGUCCCGCUGGCCUUGGUCCAAACUUCUGCCCAGAUCCCUUUGACAACAAGUGGGACACCAGGCAGGAGCAGUAGUGCAGAUAUGAAUUGACAACGCAUGGCGCCCCUCAGUCUGGUGGGGCUCUCAUGGACCGUGAGUUACAGGAGGGUUGAGGUAAGCACAGGAUCCAAAUCAGAGCACCGAGGAGGGUGAAGUCCCCGAUCCUUCGAACCAGCUGCACAUUCCAGCUGCCCUGUCUUGGUUCAUCCUCCCUGGGUGGCUCUCUCCCUGCUUCUGCUCCUUCUCUGGGCUAUUAUUUUCAGUGUCCUAUGAGUCCCACCAAAACCGCCACCUCGCAUGGAAUCAUGAAGUCCUCUAGCCCUCGAAGUCUGAUUUGCUGGGAGCUGCAUUUCUGUGUUGCCUCCUCUCGGCCAUAUUGGCACGCCUACCCCAAAAUCCAUAUAUAUAUACAUAUAUGCUUUUUUUUUUUUUUGAGACAGAGUCUUGCUCUGUCACCAGGCUGGAGUGCAGUGGCGCAAUCUCGGCUCACUGCAACUUCUGCCUCCUGGGUUCAAGUGAUUCUUCUGCCUAAGCCUCCUGAGUAGCUGGGACUUCAGGCACAUGCCACCACGCCCGGCCAAUUUUUGUAUUUUUAGUAGAGACGAUAUUUCACCAUGUUGGUCAGGAUGGUCUCGAUGUCUUGACCUCAUGAUCUGCCCACGUCGGCCUCCCAAAGUGCUGGGAUUACGAGCAUGAGCCACUGCGCCCGGCCGAAUCUGUAUUUUUUAAUCCUUUAAUGUUUUGGUAGAAUGUACUUAUGAAUUUAUCGGUGUUUUCUUUAUGGAAGCUUUUAAAUUACUAAUUCAAUGUCUUUAAUAGGUAUGUGAAUAUUCAAGUGGCAUAAAUAUACAUAUAUUUGGAUACAGUCUCACUCCGUUGCCCCACUGAAGUGCAAUGUGCAAUGGCUUGAUCUCGGCUCAUUGCAACCUCCGCCUCCCAGGUUCAAGGUAUUCUCGUGUCUCAGCCUCCAAGGUACCUGGGACUAUAGGCAUGUGCCACCAUGCCUGCCUACAUUUUUUUGUAUUUUUGUAUUUUUAGUAGAGACGGGGUUUCACCAUGUUGGCUAGGCUGGUCUUGAACUCCUGACCACCCGCCUCGGCCUCCCAAAGUGCAGGGGUUACAGGUGUGAACUACUGUGCCCAGCCAGGUUAUAUAUUUUUUGAAUGAGCUUUGGUAGUUUGUUUUUUUGAGAUGGAAUCUCACUCUUGCUCAGGCUGGAGUGCAGUAGCAUGAUCUCAGCUCAUUGCAACCUCUGCCUCCCAGGUUUAAGCAAUUUUCCUGUCUUAUGCUCUCCAGUAGCUGUGACUACAGGCGCUCACCACCCUGCCCGGCUAAUAUUUAUACUUUUAGUAGAGAAGGGGUUUUACCAUGUUAGGCUGGUCUCCAACUCCUGACCUCAGGUGAUCCACCCGCUUUGGCCUCCCAAAGUGCUGGGAUUACAGGCGUGAGCCAACACGCCCGGCCUUUUUUUUUUUUUUUUUUGAGACAGGGUCUCACUCUGUUGCUCAGAUCGGAGUGCAGUAGAGCGAUCUCCGCUCACUGCCAACCUUGCCUCCCAAGCUCAAGUAAUUCUUCAACCUCAGCCUCCCAGGUAGCUGGGAUUACAGGCUCACGCCACUACUCCCAGCUAAUUUUUGUGUUUUUAGUAUAGAUGGAGUUUUGCUAUGUUGGCCAGUCUGCUCUCGAACUCCUGACCUCAAAUGAUCCACCCGCCUCUGCCUCUGAAAGUGCUAGGUUUACAGGCAUGAGCCACCACACCCAGCUUCUAUAUUCUUUGGUAGUUUGUAUCUUUUAAGGAAUUAAAAGAUAACAAGGAAGAUAAGAAAAGAUAUUAAGGACAUUAUUUCAUUGAUUUUUGGUUUGGUGUUUAUUAUUUUCUUUUUUCUGCUUGCUUUUUGUUUAAUUUGUUCUUCUUUUUCUAGUUUCUUAACUCCAAGUCACUGAAUUAAGGUUUUUUUUUUUUUCAAAUCGGCAUUUUGUGCUGUUUUUUUCUACAUACAUUUUUUGGUGCCACCCCACAAAUUUUGACAUUUUCAUUUUGAUUCUGUUCAAAAUACUUCCUAAUUUCCCUCUUGAUUUCUUUUUAGUCCUGGAAUGUGCUAUUUAGUUUACAUAUAUUUAGGGAUGUUCCAGCGAUCUUUCUGUGGUUAUUACCUAUUUUGAUUCUCAUAUGGUCAAAGAAUAUAGUUUUAUGAAUUUUGUUUUUUUAAAAUUGGUUCAGGAUUCUUUUAUGGCCCAGAAUAUGGUAUGUCUUGGUAAAUGUUCAGUGUGUUCUUUAAAAGAUGUGUGUUCUGCCAUUGUUGGCUGAAGAAUUAUAAAAUAUCAGCUAGGUCAAAUAAGUCUUGAGUUUUCAAGUCUUUUAUAUCCUUCAGUGAUUUUUCUAUCUACUUCUAUCAUUUAUGGGGAAAGAUACAUUGAAGUCUUUCAAUCUAAUUGUGAAUGGCUUUUCCUUGAAAUUCUAUUAAUUUUUGCCUAAGUUAUUUUGAAACUCUACAUAGACUUUUAACACUGUUAAGUCUUUUUUAACUUCUUUGUCAUUAUGAAAAGGUCUUCAUUGGUGGUAGUUUUCUUUGGUCAGAAUUCUGCCCAGGGGAUCUUUGGUCUAUAGCGAAUUAAGCGACGAAGAAAAGUAAACUUGGAAAAAUAAUUAAAAAUAUACUCCAAGUGAUUGUUGAUAAUAAAUUUGUUCAGGCUGUGUUAAGACUUGCAUCAAUUUUUUAGUAAUAGAUGAGUGUAGGAGAGUGCUAAAACUGUGAAGUCUUAAAACAUUUUAAUAUUGCUGAAAAUUAGCUUUUUUCAGUUUUGAAAAUAACAGCUUCCAAAUAAUGAGUUUUAAAAAUAAAAUUAGACUUAAAUAUAUAAAGUUUAGAGAUAAAAAGUUUUAUGAUAAAAUAUGCCAGAAACAGAAUUCAAAAGAUACCUAACUUGCUUCGUGUAUAAAAGAUAAAUAAAGGCUUGGCUUGGUAUGGUGGCUCACAGGGGGCCGAGAUGAUCACUUGAGCUCAGGAGUUUGAGACUAGCCUGGGCAACAUGGCAAAACCCCAUCUCGACCAAAAAUACAAAAAUUAGCUGGGCAUGGUAGCAGGUGCCUGUAGUCCCAGCUACUCAAAAGGCCGAGGCAGGAGGAUCCCAUGAGAGCCAGGGAGGUGGAGGUUGCAGUGAGCUGAGAUCGCACCAUUUCUAGCCUGGGUGACAGAGUACCACCCUGUUCCAAAAAAAAGUAAAGGCUUGCUGUUUAUUCCAUUUCAAGGAAUUAGUAAGAAAAAUCGUAGGUUAAUGGGUAAAAGAUAUGAAUAGGUAAUUCAGUGGCAAUGCUUAUUGAAAUCAAUGAAAGACAGAAAAAAAGACACUGAAGGAAAUGCAAAUUGUAGUAUUAGUACAAUAUCCUUUCUUAUCUACUUUAUUGGGAUAAAUUAACUGGACGCAACUACUGUUGACAGUGAUGGGGAAAGGUUACUUUUUUUUUUUUUUUUUUUUGAGACGGAGUUUCGCUCUUGUUACCCAGGCUGGAGUGCAAUGGCGCGAUCUCGGCUCACCGCAACCUCCGCCUCCUGGGUUCAGGCAAUUCUCCUGCCUCAGCCUCCUGAGUAGCUAGGAUUACAGGCAUGUGCCACUGUGCCCAGCUAAUUUUUUGUAUUUAUAGUAGAGACGGGGUUUCAUCAUGUUGACCAGCCUGGUCUUUAUCUCUUGACCUCGUGAUCCACCCGCCUCGGCCUCCCAAAGGGAAAGGUUACUUUUAUAUGUUGCUUGUGGAAUCGUUAAUUGUCACUUUCUUUUUUUAGAUAGGUAAUUCUUUGGCCUCAUUCAGGGAGCUCCUGCCUUGAGCACCUCUUCACACUUGGGGGCACAAGUCUGUUACUCAGACUUUACAACAGUGGCUUUGAGUUCUGCCUUGUUUCUGGCAUCCGAGGAAUUUCUUUUGAUCCUUUUGGUAUUUCUUAUAUAUUGUUAUUUUUUUAUUUUGUUUUACUCAGCAUUUCUACUUUCUGUUACUUUGGGUGAGGUUUUCCAUAGCAUUUAAGUUCACCAUAAUGACUGGAGCACAUCACAAUUUCUUUUUUAUAACCAUACAAGUUGUCUUGCAAGUAUUAAGGAGACAGUCCGAUGUUAAUAAAAUGUAAAAUAACUCAUGGAAUUAGCAUCUAUAAGCCCUUCCUGAUCAAGGUAUUUAACAGUCAAAUAUAAUUAACCAAGAAGUAAACGAAAGUAAAGAACACUGGAAUAGAGGAGCUGUGACAGUGGGCUGGUGCUAAGCAUUGAAUCCAUGUAAGUAUUGAACUUGAAGAGCAACUGAGGGAGUUAAGAUUGUACGAUAAAAUGUUUUUCUGGCCGGGUUUGGUAGCUCACACCUGCAAUCCCAGAACUUUGGGAGGCUGAGGCAGGCGGAUCACCUGAGGUUGGGAGUUCGAGACCAGUCUGGCCAACAUGGAGAAACCCCAUGUCUACUAAACAUACAAAAAUUAGUCGGGUGUGGUCGUGCAUGCUGUAAUCCCAGCUACUCGGGGGGCUGAGGCAGGAGAAUCACUUGAACCCGGGGGGUUGGGAGCUGCAUUCAGCAAGAAUUGAUCCACUUAACUCUACCCUUGGUGAGAGCGAAACUCUUGUCUCAAAAAAAAGUACAGACAGAUAAGCUGGGGAUUGGAUGGUGCUAUUAGUAUCAUACAAACCAGACCAUAAGACAGAGUAUUAUCAGAAAUAAGGAGGGACUUUUCAUAAUGUUAAAUGGAUCAAUUCGUCAGAAAGCUGUAGCAAUCAUAAAUUCAUGCCAGUAGGAAGUUAAAAAUAAUAAAGCAGCCUAGUACAGUGGCUCACACUUGUAAUCCCAGCACUUUACAAGGCCAAGGUGGGCGGAUCACCUCAUGUCAGGAGUCAGAGACCAGCCUGGCCAACAUAGCAAAAUCCCGUCUCUACUAAAAAUAUAAAAAUUAGCUGUGCGUGGUGACUGGCGCCUAUAAUCCCAGCUACUGGGGAGGCUGAGGCAGGAGAAUCGCCUGAACCCCGGGGGGGCAGAGGUUGCAGUGAGCCAAGAUCACAUCACUUCAGCCUGGGCGAAAGGGUGAAACUCUGUCUAAAAAGAAAAAAAAAAAAAAAAAAUAUAUAUAUAUAUAUAUACACACACACACACACACACACACACAUAUGUAGAGAGAGGGCGAAAAUUGACAAAAUUAAGAGGAAAAACAUACUUUUACAAUUAGUGCUAAAGAUUUUUUUUAAUAAAUUUCUAGCAAAAAAAAAUUUAGUAAAGACAUAGAUGAUCUGAGGAAUACUACAAACCACCUCAGUAUAAUUGAUAAUUAUUGAACACGACUUCCUCAAAUGGUGAAGUAGGUGAGUGUACAUCAUAUAUUCACCAACAUAGUCCAAAUGAUAGACCAUGAAAUAUGCCUUGAUACAUUUUUUGUGUGUGCUUUGAUAGAUUUAUUUUUUGAGACAGAGUCUCGCUUGCUCUGUCACCCGGGCUGGAGGGCAAUGGUGCAAUUUCGCCACCUCUGCCUCCUUGAUUCAAGCUAUUCUUGUGCCUUAACCUCCCGAGUAGCUGGGAUUAUGGGCAUGUGCCACCGCCUGGCUAAUUUUUGUAUUUUUAGUAGAGAUGGUUUCACCUUCUUGGCCAGGCUGGUCUCGAACUCCUGACCUCUGGUGAUGCGCCUGCUUUGGUCUCCCAAAGUGCUGGGAUUACAGGCAUGAGCCACUGUGCCCAGCGGAUAAAUUUUAAAUGAUUGAAAUGUAUAUAUAUUCUCUCACCACAAUGCAAGUAAAAUUAAAAUAGAAAUUAUUAAAAUAAGAUAUCUAGAAAUGUUUCACAUAUUUGGAAAUGAGACAGUACAAUUUUAAAUGAACCAUGAGUCAAAGGGAAAUCACAGUUAGAAAAUAUUUUUAACCAAAUGGUAAUGAUAAUGUAAUAUCAUAAUUCAUGGAAUGUAGCUAAAGCAGUGCUUGGAGGGCAAAUUAUAGUUUAAAUGCUUUUGUUGUAAAGAAAGAAAAGUCUAUAAAUGUCAGUGACCGAAGUUUCUACCUUAGGAAGCUAGAAAAAGAACAGCAAAGUAAACCUUAGAGUAAGUGCAAGUAAGGAAAUAAUGGAGUAGAAAUCAAUGAGGUGGAAAACAAACAGAUAAUAGAGAAACUUUAAAAAGCCAAAAUCUGGUUCUUUGGCAAGAUCAACAGCAGUAAUAAACCCUUAUCUUCAGUGAACAAGAAACUGACAAUGUGACAUGUUGUAAUAGUAAAGGAAUAAACUACGUGCUGUGGAACAUAGAGAAAGGCUCAUUCUGAAUUUGCUUAUCAAAGCUGGUUUCAGAGAGGUGGUCAAAUUUGUGUUUGCCUUUCAAGAAUUAGUAUGAAUUUUUCCUGAUACAGAUUGGUAAAAAGAAUAUUCUGAGAGACCAUAAGAGCAAAAUAAUUUUUUUCCGGGCUUAUGGCAUAUUUAUAACAGUAUUUUUAUUUUUUUGAGACAGAGUCUCGCUGUAGUGCAGUGGUGCGAUCUCGGCUCACUAUAACCUCUGCCUACCUGUUCAAGCAGUUCUGGUGCCUCAGCCUCCGGAGUAGCUGGGAUUAUAGGCAUGUGCCAUCAGCCCCAGCUAAUUUUUAAAUUUUUAGUAGAAUUGGGCUUCUUCAUGUUGGCCAGGCUGGUCUUGAACUCCAGUCUCGAGUGAUCCACACAUUUUCGCCUUCCAAAGUGCUAGGAUCACAGGUGCAAGCCACUGCACCUGGCCUAGAAUGAUAUAUUGACUUUGUCUGUGACAUGUGGGUUAUGUUAGGUGGAGAGCAGUAGGUGAUGUGAAAGGAAAAGCAGUUUGAUUCUAGAGUGUACAGAACCUUAGAGUACCCUCCUUGGUAACUUGGACUUUAUUCUGUAUAAAAUAUGAAGCUUAGCAUCUGAAGCUUUGUUUUCUUUGUUUGUUUGGUGUUUUUCUGUUUGUUUUUGAGAUGGAGUCUCAUUCCACCUAGGCUGGAGUGCAGUGGUGCAGUCCUGGCUAACUGCAAUCUCUGCCUCCUGUGGUCAAGCCAUUCUGCCUCAGCCUCCUGAGUAGCUUGGAUUGCAGGCACAUGCAUGAUGCCCGGCCAAUUUUUGUAUUUUUAGUAGUGACGGGGUUUCACCAUGCUGGCCAGGCUGGUCUUGAACUCCUGACCUCGUGAUCUGCCCACCUCAGCCUCUCAAAGUAUUGGGAUUACAGGUGUGCGCCACUGUGCCUGUCUAAAAAACUCAUUUCAGGUUUUAUGUUUUUUUGUUUUUUGAGACAGAGUCUCACCCUGUCACCCAGGCUGGAGUGCAAUGGUGUGAUCUCAGCUCACUGCAGCCUCUGCCUCCCAGGCUCAAAUGAUUCUCCUGCCUCAGCCUCCCGAGUAGCUGGAAUUAUAGGCACCCACCACCACAUACAGCUAAUUUUUGUAAUUUUAAUAGAGACGGAGUUUCACCAUGUUGGCCAGGCUGGUCUCAAACUCCUGACCUGUGAUACACCUGCCUUGGCCUCCCAAAGUGCUGGGAUUACAGGCAGGAGCCAUCAUGCCCGGCCUCAUUUAAAUUUUCAAAUGAGUUUUUUCAAUGAAAUAUAUCAAACUGAAAAUACUUAGAAUGACACACUGAACACUUAUUACCACUUCUCUGCUUUAACAGGUCUCAUACUUCACCGUAUUUGUCUCAGAUUUUAAGAGAUUAAGACAUCAUAGAUACAAUUGAAGCUCUCUUUGUACCUUUCCAUCUCAUACCACAAUUAAGUCCUAUUCUGAAGUUACAUAUCCUUACCAUGCAUUUCUUUUU